Molecule: long non-coding RNA, 531 nt
Filed under: Bemisia tabaci
Lineage: Eukaryota; Metazoa; Arthropoda; Insecta; Hemiptera; Aleyrodidae
Description: lncRNA ENSSWEETPG009761
Source: RNAcentral
AUGAUAACAUUUCUCUAUCUUCAGGAUUCAGUCAAAAAGUUGGAACAAACUGGUGAAAAAGAGAUUGUAAAUGAGUUUGGAGCGUUUCUAGACCUGCCUAUACUGCCCACAUUGGAGGAAGUUGGAGUUGAAGUUACAGCCAUCGCCGGUCUGACAGAUUUCUUUGUACAGAUUAAAAGAACAACAGAACAAUCAUUGAUGGAUAUUCAAAAUGAAUACGAGGCAAUGUUUGAAGAAAUCCAAAAGGAAGCACCCUCUGGUCGUCCUCUUCUAGAGCCCUUAAGAAUCGGUCAAGAAUGUUGUGCCUUAUAUGAAGAUGACAACUGGUAUCGAGCAGUGAUCGUGGCUAAAUUUCCUGAAAACGAAGAAUUGGUCAUGGUUCGAUUUAUUGAUUUUGGAAACAAGCAACCAACUCCCACCAAAAAUUUGAGGCCUGUGAAAAGAAAAUGGAUGGACAUUCCCAGACAGUGUAUCAGUGUAAGAUUAGCAGACAUGAAAAAAAACAGACGGUGUGACAGGGGAGGCGCUUAA